Molecule: ribosomal RNA, 254 nt
Filed under: uncultured bacterium
Lineage: Bacteria
Description: partial small subunit ribosomal RNA
Rfam family: Bacterial small subunit ribosomal RNA
Source: RNAcentral
AGGACGAACGCUGGCGGCGUGCUUAACACAUGCAAGUCGAACGAUGAAGCCUUUCGGGGUGGAUUAGUGGCGAACGGGUGAGUAACACGUGGGCAACCUGCCCUCCACUCUGGGAUAACUUCGGGAAACCGGGGCUAAAUACUGGAUAUGACCUGGGAUCGCAUGGUCCUGGGUGGAAAGUUUUUCGGUGGAGGAUGGGCCCGCGGCCUAUCAGCUUGUUGGUGGGUGAUGGCCUACCAAGGCGGUGACGGGUA